RNAcentral lists this ribosomal RNA (448 nucleotides) under uncultured bacterium. RNAcentral describes it as "bacterial SSU rRNA". It matches the Rfam family "Bacterial small subunit ribosomal RNA", at positions 340 to 778 of the family's 1533-position model. The record is from RNAcentral.
UACGGGAGGCAGGAGUGGGGAAUAUUGCACAAUGGGCGAAAGCCUGAUGCAGCUAUGCCGCGUGUAUGAAGAAGGCCUUAGGGUUGUAAAGUACUUUCAUCGGGGAGGAAAAACAAAACUAAUAAUUUUAUUUCUUGACGUUACCCGAAAAAGAAGCACCGGCUAACUCCGUGCCAGCAGCCGCGGUAAUACGGAGGGUGCUAGCGUUAAUCAGAAUUACUGGGCGUAAAGAGCACGUAGGUGGUUUUUUUAAAGUUCAGAUGUGAAAUCCCUGGGCUUAACCUAGGAACUGCAUUUUGAAACUGAAAUACUAGAGUAUCGUAGAGGGAGGUAGAAUUCUAGGUGUAGCGGUGAAAUGCGUAGAUAUCUGGAGGAAUACCUGUGGCGAAAGCGGCCUCCUAAACGAAUACUGACACUGAGGUGCGAAAGCGUGGGGAGCAAACAGGGA